This is a non-coding RNA of Podarcis lilfordi (Lilford's wall lizard), 73 nucleotides long. Lineage: Eukaryota; Metazoa; Chordata; Lepidosauria; Squamata; Lacertidae. The record is from the annotation of a GenBank genome assembly.
GCAUUCAGUCUCAGCUCGUUAGAGCAUGGUGCUGAUAAUGCAAAGGUUGCAGGUUCGAUCCCCGUAUGAGACA